CAACACUGCAAUAAAACAGGAAGAAGAACUGAAAAAUGCAGAACCUGCAAUACAUGAAGAAACAAUGGAAGACACUACAGCAUCAGAGACUGGAGUAAAGCAUGGGG
Molecule: long non-coding RNA, 107 nt
Organism: Puntigrus tetrazona (Sumatra barb)
Lineage: Eukaryota; Metazoa; Chordata; Actinopteri; Cypriniformes; Cyprinidae
Exons: 2
Source: RefSeq, a predicted model, not a curated record